Non-coding RNA from Canis lupus familiaris (dog), 83 nucleotides. The record is from Rfam. NCBI's taxonomy places the organism in Eukaryota, Metazoa, Chordata, Mammalia, Carnivora, Canidae.
GCCUGAGUGGCUCAGUGGUUGAGCAUCUGCCUUCAGCUUAGGUCAUGAUCCUGAGGUCUUGGGAUCGAGUCCCACAUCGGGCU